Molecule: ribosomal RNA, 253 nt
Filed under: uncultured bacterium
Lineage: Bacteria
Description: partial 16S ribosomal RNA
Rfam family: Bacterial small subunit ribosomal RNA
Source: RNAcentral
UACGUAGGGGGCCAGCGUUGCUCGGAAUUACUGGGCGUAAAGGGUUCGUAGGCGGUGCGGCAAGUUGGGAGUGAAAUCUCUGGGCUUAACUCAGGGGCUGCUUUCAAAACUGCCGCGCUCGAGUGCGAGAGAGGUCAGUGGAAUUGCAGGUGUAGCGGUGAAAUGCGUAGAUAUCUGCAGGAGCACCCGUGGCGAAGGCGGCUGACUGGAUCGCAACUGACGCUGAGGAACGAAAGCUAGGGGAGCAAACAGG